AACGCGAAGAACCUUACCAGGGUUUGACAUGCCUCUGACAUCUUCAGAAAUGAGGCCUUCCCGCAAGGGACCUGUGUAGAGGUGCUGCAUGGCUGUCGUCAGCUCGUGCCGUGAGGUGUUGGGUUAAGUCCCGCAACGAGCGCAACCCUUACUCAUAGUUGCUACCCGCAAGGGAGAACUCUAUGAGGACUGCUCCGGAUAACGGAGAGGAAGGUGGGGAUGAGGUCAAGUCAGCAUGGCCUUUAUGUCCAGGGCUACACACGUGUUACAAUGCGCGCCACAAAGCGUCGCGAACCCGCGAGGGGGAGCUAAUCGCAAAAAAGCGCGCUCAGUUCGGAUUGCAGUCUGCAACUCGACUGCAUGAAGCCGGAAUCGCUAGUAAUGGCGCAUCAGAACGGCGCCGUGAAUACGUUCCCGGGCCUUGUACACACCGGAGUGC
Molecule: ribosomal RNA, 439 nt
Filed under: uncultured bacterium
Lineage: Bacteria
Description: bacterial SSU rRNA
Rfam family: Bacterial small subunit ribosomal RNA
Source: RNAcentral